RNAcentral lists this transfer RNA (86 nucleotides) under Cricetulus griseus (Chinese hamster). It matches the Rfam family "tRNA". From Rfam's summary of the family: Transfer RNA (tRNA) molecules are approximately 80 nucleotides in length. Their secondary structure includes four short double-helical elements and three loops (D, anti-codon, and T loops). Lineage: Eukaryota; Metazoa; Chordata; Mammalia; Rodentia; Cricetidae. The record is from Rfam by way of RNAcentral.
GUGGAAAUGGCUCAGAGGUUAAGAGCACUGGAUGCUCUUCUAGAGGUCUCUUCUAGAGGUCCUGAGUUCAAUUCCCAGCAACCACA